This 26-nucleotide non-coding RNA is filed under the name Rattus norvegicus (Norway rat). Lineage: Eukaryota; Metazoa; Chordata; Mammalia; Rodentia; Muridae. The record is from RNAcentral.
UCCAAAACAAGAGGAAUGUGACCGGC